CCAGAGACGUCUAACCGUGGUCUUCCAUGGUGCUAAGGAAAGGUUGCAGGCGGCUGCCGCACGGAGGAAGGAACGGCAUGACCAAGGAGCCAAGAAUGUUCCAUUGGAGGUAGGACAGUUCGUCUAUCUUCGAGACCACGGAGUGAGAGGGCGCACCAAGAUCCAGGACGCCUGGAGCCCAAUCCUACAUCAAGUGGUUCGAGCCCCACCCCCUGGUGGUGUGGUAUACUCCGUAGCCCCCGUGCAUGACCUCAAUGGGAGUCGGCAAGUACACCGGGUGAUGCUAAAGCUUGCCCGCCAAAACCACCGCCCAGAGCCUCCCGAUGUACCCUUGGAGCCUAUGAUAGCAGCUGAUCAUGAGACUGAAGAUCACACCGGUCAGUGGGUCGUGGUGAGGGCACCCGGAGUCCAGACACAGCCUGCCCAUCUUGACCCAGUGGCCCCUCCCCCUGAACUGUCGGAUCCAUCUAGCCCCCUGGUGCAAGUCGACCCGUCUGCUCCGGCUCCAUUAACUCCUACAGCAGCUAGCCCUGAUCACGGCGCCCUAGCUCCACGGCGGACCUCCCGGACCACUGCUGGAAGACAUGGAAAUCUCCAUCGGCUCCCGGUAUCAGUGGUGAGUAGGACAGACGGGGCUACGAACCCCCAGGUACCUGGCUCUAGCAGUAAUAUGACAGCAGUUUUCAGACCCUGGUGUUAAUAGGACCCUGUUUUUAUUUGUUGUCCUAGAUCCAGUGCUUUAUUUUAUUUUUAUUUAUCUGCGGGACGCCGAUAAAGAAUGGGGGGGUAGAAUGUAACCGGCAGACUAACUGCUGUACCAAGUUUGUCCUCCUGUUCUCACCGUAGCUCCUCUCCUAUCGGUCACGCCCUCCAGUUAGCUUGCAGGUGGCUAUGUACUCAUUAGCGUCAAUGGCACUUUCUAUAAGACCGGCACCGGAGGUGGGCUAGUAAGUGAUCCCUAGGCUCCGUACGUCCUCCCUACACUGUGUUCGCUGUGCUGUCACCUAUGAAAGGUAUUUGGCUGUGUACCAGACGCUUCCGGGUAGUGUUUUGUUGAUCUACCGAAGGUCUUGACUGAAAAGACGCCGUGUACGCGCAGGUUGCACUUUCUAUUGGGAGAUGCGUUAAGGUAACAUUGGCUGUAUAUCUCAGUAAGGUUUGCCAUGUAAUAUGUGUGUGUGCAUGUGUACAUAUGUAUGUUUAUAUGCAUGUUUACAGUAACUGGAUCUACUAUAAUGUGUCAUGUUUCGCUGUAAGUCCUUGUGAUUUAACUAGCCAAUAACCUUUUAUUAUGUUGUAUGUGAGCGAUGCUUGUGUGUGAUUUUAUGUAGGUUUGCGUACUGGAGAGAUACCAGGGAGUCCCAUUUCCAUUCAUGUUGAGUGCUGUAUUCCUAGAGGUAAAAGGAAACCGUGUUGUAUUGUAUCUGUAUUGGUUUAGGCUGUAUUUACCAUAAACAAUGGAUUUUAACUGUGUUUGUUUACUCCUUUAGAAAGAUUGCCACUGCUGCUUUGCCUCCUGUAGAUUUAAGUAAUUGUAGCUCUUGCCUCAUUUUGUUUUCUUUAUUUUGUUUUGUUUGUCCGAUUGAUUUGGCCUAAACAUAGGCGUGGCUGGUUUCAUUUAUUUGCCCUCCGUCGUGGUGUGUCGGCAACAGGUGUGGUAUUGGCUGCCCCAGUAUUUUGCUGCGGUAAUGUGUGAUGGUAGUAAUGCUAACAUCUAGCUUUCUUGACCCAGCCAGUUAUUGCCAAUAGCAACCAUAUCUUCCCUUCUCCCCUCCAGAGAAACAGAGUGUUGCAGCUGUUCCGCGGGGCAGGUCGCCGGAUCUGAGUCCUCCUCUUCGUGUACUUCACACAGUAUUUGUAGUGGUAACGUGCACCUCACUAUUUGCAGUGAUCACUCUUUGUAGUACCUGUGCCUAUGCGAGCGUGUGUGUGUGUGUGUGUGUGUCUGUGAAUAGGCAACAGAAUCCGCAGCACGGGUGGUGUGUCGGUCUCACUCCUCUUCCAGGACAGGUAACCGCUCCCGAACAGCUGAUCAAAUUAACCCUACUUGAUUACAUGUAAUAUUCCUGGUGGCAGCCACUACCUUCCUCUUGCUGGCCUAUUGGGCCUAAUAUGUACUGCACUCCAUCCUGAGAAUCAAACCCAAGACUGACUUUUUAACUGAAUUGCUUGUGAAUAAAUAUUGUUUAUUUUUUCAUUGAAAUACCACGUCUCUGUCAUUACUGGCUUAUCUGUGUGCGAGAGCCCUCUUGUCUAAAUCAAGGUGUUGGAGGUCUAGCUAAAAUACAUCUUGGUGUGAAAGGCCCCAAGUGGCGUAGUCGAGCACUCUAUAGUCAAGACUCUUGUCAUCUGACUCCC
Long non-coding RNA from Alosa sapidissima (American shad), 2358 nucleotides. RefSeq lists it as uncharacterized. The transcript has 3 exons. Lineage: Eukaryota; Metazoa; Chordata; Actinopteri; Clupeiformes; Clupeidae. The record is from RefSeq and is a predicted model, not a curated record.